This 224-nucleotide unclassified non-coding RNA is filed under the name Hevea brasiliensis (rubber tree). Lineage: Eukaryota; Viridiplantae; Streptophyta; Magnoliopsida; Malpighiales; Euphorbiaceae. The record is from RNAcentral.
AGCACUUGGUUUGAGACGUUUAACCCAUCUGCUAUAUGGAUCCAAUCCCAGUGGACUAUCAGCACAAGCACUAGAUUUUAAAUUUGUGGGAUGUUCAGCAUAGGAAAGAAAGUGUUCCACAUCUAAACUCUGGGUUGUGGAGGUGCUUGUCUCUGCAUCAUCUGCUGAAUUUGCCACUCCUGAGACUACAGGAAGUUCCUGGUUAAUAUCAGGUAACUCUACGU